CCUACGGGAGGCAGCAGUAGGGAAUCUUUCACAAUGGGCGAAAGCCUGAUGGAGCAACGCCGCGUGCAGGAUGAAGGCCUUCGGGUUGUAAACUGCUUUUAUAAGCGAGAAAUAUGAUGGUAACUUAUGAAUAAGGAUCGGCUAACUACGUGCCAGCAGCCGCGGUCAUAUGUAGGAUCCGAGCAUUAUCCGGAGUGACUGGGUUUAAAGGGUGCGUAGGCUGUGGGGUAAGUCAGCGGUGAAAUGCCCCCGCUCAACGGGGUGAAGUGCCAUUGAUACUGCCUUGCUGGAAUGCGGAUGCCGUGGGAGGAAUGUGUGGUGUAGCGGUGAAAUGCAUAGAGAUCACACAGAACACCGAUUGCGAAGGCAUCUCACGAAUCCGCGAUUGACGCUGAUGCACGAAAGCGUGGGUAUCAAACAGGAUUAGAUACCCCUGUAGUC
This 441-nucleotide ribosomal RNA is filed under the name uncultured bacterium. RNAcentral describes it as "partial 16S ribosomal RNA". It matches the Rfam family "Bacterial small subunit ribosomal RNA", at positions 338 to 795 of the family's 1533-position model. The record is from RNAcentral.